GUAUAGCUCUAUACACUAAAGAAUUCAUCCUGCUACUUCUAUCAGUAGUCACAUCAUCAAUAAACACCAGUGACCCGGUUCCACUGGCAGCCGUACAUGCUUAUGCCAUAAUUUCACAUUUUCGAAAUAUAUGACAUUAUAUAUAAUAUUUAUGAAGUUUUUAUUUAGAAUUUAUGGAGUAUUAUGGAAUAUCUAUGGAGUAUUAUGCAGUAUCAUGAAGUAUUAUGAAGUAUUAUGGAGUAUUUGUUAGUAUUAUAGAUUAUUAUGUAGUGUUUAUGUAGUAUUAUAGAUUAUUAUGUAGUGUUUAUGGAGUAUUAUAGAUUAUUAUGUAGUGUUUAUGGAGUAUUAUAGAUUAUUAUGUAGUGUUUAUGGGAUAUUAUAGAUUAUUAUGUAGUGUUUAUGGAGUAUUAUAGAUUAUUAUGUAGUGUUUAUGGAGUAUUAUGUAGUAUUUAUG
Long non-coding RNA from Ictalurus punctatus (channel catfish), 454 nucleotides. Lineage: Eukaryota; Metazoa; Chordata; Actinopteri; Siluriformes; Ictaluridae. The record is from Ensembl.